RNAcentral lists this ribosomal RNA (1010 nucleotides) under uncultured bacterium. RNAcentral describes it as "bacterial SSU rRNA". It matches the Rfam family "Bacterial small subunit ribosomal RNA", at positions 473 to 1482 of the family's 1533-position model. The record is from RNAcentral.
CGGUACUUGAUGAAUAAGCCACGGCUAAUUCCGUGCCAGCAGCCGCGGUAAUACGGGAGUGGCAAGCGUUAUCCGGAAUUAUUGGGCGUAAAGCGUCCGCAGGCGGCCCAACAAGUCUGCUGUUAAAAAGUGGAGCUUAACUCCAUCAUGGCAGUGGAAACUGUUGGGCUCGAGUGUGGUAGGGGCAGAGGGAAUUCCCGGUGUAGCGGUGAAAUGCGUAGAUAUCGGGAAGAACACCAGUGGCGAAGGCGCUCUGCUGGGCCAUCACUGACGCUCAUGGACGAAAGCCAGGGGAGCGAAAGGGAUUAGAUACCCCUGUAGUCCUGGCCGUAAACGAUGAACACUAGGUGUCGGGGGAAUCGACCCCUCCGGUGUCGUAGCCAACGCGUUAAGUGUUCCGCCUGGGGAGUACGCACGCAAGUGUGAAACUCAAAGGAAUUGACGGGGGCCCGCACAAGCGGUGGAGUAUGUGGUUUAAUUCGAUGCAACGCGAAGAACCUUACCAGGGUUUGACAUCCUGCGAAUCUCUUGGAAACUUGAGAGUGCCUUCGGGAGCGCAGUGACAGGUGGUGCAUGGCUGUCGUCAGCUCGUGUCGUGAGAUGUUGGGUUAAGUCCCGCAACGAGCGCAACCCACGUCUUUAGUUGCCAGCAUUUAGUUGGGCACUCUAGAGAGACCGCCGGUGAUAAACCGGAGGAAGGUGUGGAUGACGUCAAGUCAUCAUGCCCCUUACAUCCUGGGCUACACACGUACUACAAUGCUACGGACAAAGGGCAGCAAGUUCGCGAGGACAAGCAAAUCCCAUAAACCGUGGCUCAGUUCAGAUCGUAGGCUGCAACUCGCCUACGUGAAGGAGGAAUCGCUAGUAAUCGCAGGUCAGCAUACUGCGGUGAAUACGUUCCCGGGCCUUGUACACACCGCCCGUCACACCAUGGAAGUUGGCCACGCCCGAAGCCGUUACUCCAACCCUUGUGGAGGAGGACGUCGAAGGUGGGGCUGAUGACUGGGGUG